UACGGGAGGCAGCAGUGGGGAAUAUUGCACAAUGGGCGCAAGCCUGAUGCAGCCAUGCCGCGUGUAUGAAAAAGGCCUUUCGGGUUGUAAAGUACUUUCAGUCGUGAGGAAGGUGUUAAGGUUAAUAACCUUAGCAAUUGACGUUAGCGACAGAAGAAGCACCGGCUAACUCCGUGCCAGCAGCCGCGGUAAUACGGAGGGUGCGAGCGUUAAUCGGAAUUACUGGGCGUAAAGGGCACGCAGGCGGUUAAUUAAGUUGGAUGUGAAAUCCCCGGGCUUAACCUGGGAAUGGCAUUCAAGACUGGUUAGCUAGAGUCUUGUAGAGGGGGUAGAAUUCCAUGUGUAGCGGUGAAAUGCGUAGAGAUGUGGAGGAAUACCGGUGGCGAAGGCGGCCCCUGGACAAAGACUGACGCUCGAUGUGCGAAAGCGUGGGGAGCAAACAGGGAUUAGAUACC
This 455-nucleotide ribosomal RNA is filed under the name uncultured bacterium. RNAcentral's name for it is "bacterial SSU rRNA". It matches the Rfam family "Bacterial small subunit ribosomal RNA", at positions 340 to 786 of the family's 1533-position model. The record is from RNAcentral.